Molecule: long non-coding RNA, 1756 nt
Organism: Betta splendens (Siamese fighting fish)
Lineage: Eukaryota; Metazoa; Chordata; Actinopteri; Anabantiformes; Osphronemidae
Exons: 3
Source: RefSeq, a predicted model, not a curated record
GAAGGUUUUGACCUACAUAAUAAUGAACAUUUCACUAAUCUACAAUUCUGAUUGCAGUACCUUUUGUUUUGAUGAGGUGAUGGUGAGGACAGCCACAGCUUCCAUCUGGUAGAGGACUGCUUCCGCUCAGUCUUCCAAAUAGUGAUGAGAACAAGGAUCACCACAUCUCCCUGGUUAUCUGUCUACAACUAUACCUGUCCUGCUGCAGAAACAAAUCUCCAACAUAACUAAGUGUACCCCCUACCCAGGACAUGGAUUAUCCUACUUGUAUGCAUUUCGUCAGCAAGGGCCUGCAAAAGCUUCCGUCCAUAAACCUCCAGACUUCUUAAUUAACUCAGUAACCUGUACAACCUAUAUAUUAACCUAUACAAUAAAGUUAGCUUUAACUAUUACGUAUUUCACUGAACUCUGUUUUUCUGAGAGGAAAACACUUUUAUUCAGGAAAUCAUAGAAAGAGAAAAACAUGUAAUUUCAAUACUAAUAUGGUAGGCUAUCAAAUUUGGACCGGCCAUAAAUAAAAAGCAUAUAAAUUAUAUAUAAAUUAAAACAAAAAUCUUAAUGAGUAUUGCACUCACAAAAAACACAUAUUUACUCAAAUGGUAAAGGAGUUAUUCCACAGGGGCCCGUUUCAAGAAAGAGGUUUAACAAACUGAGUUAAAACGAACCUCUGAGUUGAUUUACUCUGAGUUUGCAAACCUGGAGUUUUCGGUUCCAGAACAGCUGAAAAGAGUUGGUUUAAGCAACUCUGAGUUGUCUGACUCAGAGUUAAGCGCGUGCACCGCGACGAUACAAAGCCCUGAUCAAUGGAGUGAAGAUAUUACGAGUCACCAUGGCAAUAGGACGGAAUAGAGAUAGGAAUAGAGAUGUCCGGAAAUGGAUUUGAUACGUCAAGCAAAUAGCGACUACGAGCCUAUAUUGCGUAGAAAAAGCAACACGGCUGCAGCGGCAAAAGAGAAAGAAUUAGCUUGGAAGAAAAUAGCUGCUUGAGUCAAUGCCUAAGUUUACAUUUUAAUCAUACAGUGUUCAGCGUAACUAAAUACUAAAAAUUCCUACUUUAAAAUUCCUGUUGUGGUUGAUGUGGGAUUUGUAAAGUAUGAUAAUGAUAAUUCAAUACUCCAAUACGUUUUAUGGAGAGCAAUUAUUACAUUAAUCUAAUUAGAAUUUUAAAAGUUACCCAAAACACAAUUUUUACGUAGGCGCAAUCCUGCAGGCAUAAAAGAACGUGGCUAAAAAUUAAAUAUAAAAACAUAAUUCAAACAGGUAUAAGGCACCAUCAUAUCAUGAGUGUAGACUUCCUGACAACAUUUGACAUAUUAAAUAACUAAAUAGCAUGCAGAGUAUAGCAGUGCAGCAGCAUUUUCAACAUGGCUGUAAUGUUUUCACACAGUUAAAUCAUUUGACUUCUACUCAGCCAACAGAAAGAAGGCAGAGGCUAGAACAACUGGUGGAGGACCUGCACCACCAACAUUGACGCAUGCCUGAACACUGGAAAGCAGAGGCUGAAGGAAUUCCUGGAGGGAGUUCAUCAGAACCAGUCACUCCCCAGGAUACAAGUGCAUUUGUAAAAUAUUCUGAAUAAUAUGAAUCCUCCUGUCACAACAGAAGCCCAGGAUGUUAGUGUGAAAGAACAGCAGGAAGAGGUCAGUCACAUUCUGCUGCACAGAUGCACACAGUUCAGUGAUGUUCAAUAAACACCAGAGUUCAAUUCUGUAAGAGUAAUGAGGAACUUUGUCUUGUAACUAUAAAUCUUCUGUAU